Molecule: ribosomal RNA, 390 nt
Filed under: uncultured bacterium
Lineage: Bacteria
Description: bacterial SSU rRNA
Rfam family: Bacterial small subunit ribosomal RNA
Source: RNAcentral
GCAAUACCCAGCGGCAGACGGGUGAGUAACACGUAGUCAACCUUCCCGAUAGUGGGGGAUAACUAGCCGAAAGGUUAGCUAAUACCGCAUACGAUCUUCUCGCGGCAUCGCUUGAAGAUGAAAGGAGCAAUCCGCUUUCGGACGGGACUGCGUCCCAUUAGCUAGAUGGUGGGGUAAUGGCCUACCAUGGCAACGAUGGGUAGCUGGUUUGAGAGAGCGACCAGCCACACUGGGACUGAGAAACGGCCCAGACUCCUACGGGAGGCAGCAGUGAGGAAUUUUCCGCAAUGGGCGAAAGCCUGACGGAGCGACGCCGCGUGUGGGAAGAAGGCCUUCGGGUCGUAAACCACUGUCGAAGGGGAAAAUAAUGAUGGUACCCUUGGAGGAAGC